GCAGGUGUGGCGGAAUUGGUAUACGCGUGCCGUUCAGAACGGUAUCCCGCAAGGGUUGGAGGUUCGAGUCCUCUCACCUGCACUA
This 85-nucleotide transfer RNA is filed under the name Candidatus Curtissbacteria bacterium RIFCSPHIGHO2_01_FULL_41_44. RNAcentral describes it as "tRNA-Leu". It matches the Rfam family "tRNA". From Rfam's summary of the family: Transfer RNA (tRNA) molecules are approximately 80 nucleotides in length. Lineage: Bacteria; Candidatus Curtissiibacteriota. RNAcentral also lists the same sequence under 3 other names. The record is from RNAcentral.